RNAcentral lists this ribosomal RNA (384 nucleotides) under uncultured bacterium. Its description in RNAcentral is "bacterial SSU rRNA". It matches the Rfam family "Bacterial small subunit ribosomal RNA", at positions 29 to 412 of the family's 1533-position model. The record is from RNAcentral.
AUUGAACGCUGGCGGCAUGCCUUACACAUGCAAGUCGAACGGCAGCAUGGGUGCUUGCACCUGAUGGCGAGUGGCGAACGGGUGAGUAAUGCAUCGGAACGUACCCGGAAGUGGGGGAUAACGUAGCGAAAGUUACGCUAAUACCGCAUAUUCUGUGAGCAGGAAAGCGGGGGAUCGCAAGACCUCGCGCUUCCGGAGCGGCCGAUGUCGGAUUAGCUAGUUGGCGGGGUAAAGGCCACCAAGGCAACGAUCCGUAGCGGGUCUGAGAGGAUGAUCCGCCACACUGGGACUGAGACACGGCCCAGACUCCUACGGGAGGCAGCAGUGGGGAAUUUGGACAAUGGGGGCAACCCGUGAUCCAGCCAUGCCCGCGUGAGUGAAGAA